Molecule: ribosomal RNA, 481 nt
Filed under: Bacillus sp. (in: firmicutes)
Lineage: Bacteria; Bacillati; Bacillota; Bacilli; Caryophanales; Bacillaceae
Description: bacterial SSU rRNA
Rfam family: Bacterial small subunit ribosomal RNA
Source: RNAcentral
GAGUUUGAUCAUGGCUCAGGACGAACGCUGGCGGCGUGCCUAAUACAUGCAAGUCGAGCGGACAGAUGGGAGCUUGCUCCCUGAUGUUAGCGGCGGACGGGUGAGUAACACGUGGGUAACCUGCCUGUAAGACUGGGAUAACUCCGGGAAACCGGGGCUAAUACCGGAUGGUUGUUUGAACCGCAUGGUUCAAACAUAAAAGGUGGCUUCGGCUACCACUUACAGAUGGACCCGCGGCGCAUUAGCUAGUUGGUGAGGUAACGGCUCACCAAGGCAACGAUGCGUAGCCGACCUGAGAGGGUGAUCGGCCACACUGGGACUGAGACACGGCCCAGACUCCUACGGGAGGCAGCAGUAGGGAAUCUUCCGCAAUGGACGAAAGUCUGACGGAGCAACGCCGCGUGAGUGAUGAAGGUUUUCUGAUCGUAAAGCUCUGUGCUAGGGAAGAGACAAUACCGACGAAUAGAGCGGAUACUGAUCA